AGAAGGUUACGCCCUUGUGGUAUAAAAACUUUUAACGAAACCCUAAUUUGUUUAUUGUUUCCGCCGCAUCCCUUCCACUUCCUCGCUCUUCUCCAUUUUCUUCUCCAUCCGCUGUGUCUUUCUAAUGUCGCAGGUGAUAAUACAUAUAGAAUCGAAAUAUGAUCAUAGAGGUUUCAAUCUUCUUAUCUUGUCGUGGAAAAUCUUUUGUCUUUUUUUUUUUUUUUUGAUUUUCAUAGUAAUCAUCAUGGACUUCGAUCCGCUUCUUAUUAGCUGAAGCGUCAACAUAAUUAUGAAAAUGAAAUUGGGGUUUGCUCAGAGUUUACCAGUUCGAAUCAAUUCCAGAUUGCAUAGGAGGAGUUCUUUGUUGCUGGGAUUCGGAGGAUAAGAAUAAUGAUAAUAAUGAUGCUAUUGGGAUGAUAAUAAUGAUGGUGGUGUCCUUUGUACACUCAUGGGAACUGGCUUCAAAGGUUGGAAUGAACAAAAAACUUGAAUUUAUAGUGCUGUUGCAGCUAACAACCCAGUGUUAGGAAACACGUCGUCUGAUAAACACCCUCUCAAUGCUUCCCUCUAUUGUUAUUAGUCUAUUGACUUUUGUAGUUGUAUUGUCAUCCUAAUUAAUUUAACAAUCCACUAUUGCUGCUGCAGAAGAAAUUUUGUACAACCAACGCAUAUUAAAAAGCAAGUCGUAGAAACACAUGGAGUACGUGGUGGUUUCUGAUGCAACAUUUUCGACUCCUAACCGGAUUGGAUUAGUGUUUUUACAUCUAAUGUUUGCUGCUUUGGAAGCAUCUAUGAUUAGACGUGCCAAUACUAACCCAAUAUCAGUUGGAAAACUAAAGACGACACUACCAGUUAUCUGUAUGCUAGGGGAUGGCUUAACGAACCCAUGGAGGUUACAAUUUUGGAGAAGAAUGCGUGUGGUCUUCUUACAAGAACAUAGCGGAAGAUGACGACAAAGAUGGGGAUGCAGAUGAAUAGUGCGAUGAAGUUGACAAAACCAAUAGGGAUGCAAGUAAAAUGGCAGAGAAUAGAGCUUACUAUCGAAUGGAGGGAAAUGUUUACUUUUGAACACACUAUUAUGAAAACAAUUUGUCUUAUUUCGACAGUUUAAUGAAUGUAAGAGAAAGAUUGUCCACUUAUUGGUGAAAUAAAUUUCUGAUGGAUUGGAGAGAAGAGAACUAAUCUGUGUACAGAAUUUUUUCAGCAAAAAAAAGGUAGCAUGAGAAGGUUACUCUCCCAACUGUGGUGCAAGGGAUUUGAAGAAAGCGAUGUUGUGGCUUCUGGAGGAUAAUUAACCUGGCAGAUAAUGUGCUCAGUUUAUUACCGGAGAAAAGUGGAGUAAUUACGAUAUAAAAAACUUCGGCUAUAUUAUUGCCUUCCAAAAAUGACUUGGAAGUUCUAAUGAGGUGGACCACGAAAAUUCAGUAAAUUCUGUCAAAAACCGAUGGAGAACACAUUGCAGUAUCCAUAAAAAUGAAAAUUUGAAGUAAAGUUUACAACAGCAACAACCACUUCAGUUGUUUUCCAUGAACAUUCCUUUGAAUCAGAUGUUAAGAUUUUUGGUAUCUUACUUUGUACAUUUCCAAUUUUUCACAAGUAUUUGAAUCAGU
This is a long non-coding RNA of Papaver somniferum (opium poppy), 1610 nucleotides long. RefSeq lists it as uncharacterized. NCBI's taxonomy places the organism in Eukaryota, Viridiplantae, Streptophyta, Magnoliopsida, Ranunculales, Papaveraceae. The record is from RefSeq and is a predicted model, not a curated record. The transcript has 6 exons.